RNAcentral lists this unclassified non-coding RNA (435 nucleotides) under Zea mays. RNAcentral describes it as "misc RNA Zm00001eb068690". Lineage: Eukaryota; Viridiplantae; Streptophyta; Magnoliopsida; Poales; Poaceae. The record is from RNAcentral.
CCGUUACUAAACAUAGCACUCCGAACGCUGAUGCUUCCUCCGUCGUCCCAGCGUCAUGCACUCGAUGGCGGCGUGUCAGUUGGGCUUGAGGUCCUGGAACAGGCGGUCCCACCUGACCAUCUCGCUGCCGCUCCCGCCCUCCACGUCGUCGCCAACCGCGUGCACGGCCGCGGCGGCCCUCCCACCGACGACGGAGGCUCUGGGCGGGGUGCCCUUGGGCUCCGACCUGGCCCGCCGCAGCGCCUUGUUGCCGCCGCGGCGCUGCUGGCUGUGCUUCGAGACACAGACGCCGCCGACGCCGACGCAUGGUGGGCUGCGGCCGUCGCCGGGGCGCUGCUGCUGCUGCUGCGGCUGGGUCGUCGGGGGCACCAGCACGAGCGCCGUGGACGAGCAGUCGCCCUCGCGGCGCACGAGCGAGCGCACGUACCUGGCGAC